This 251-nucleotide ribosomal RNA is filed under the name uncultured Gardnerella sp. RNAcentral's name for it is "partial 16S ribosomal RNA". It matches the Rfam family "Bacterial small subunit ribosomal RNA", at positions 104 to 354 of the family's 1533-position model. The record is from RNAcentral. Lineage: Bacteria; Bacillati; Actinomycetota; Actinomycetes; Bifidobacteriales; Bifidobacteriaceae.
GGGUGAGUAAUGCGUGACCAACCUGCCCCAUGCUCCAGAAUAGCUCUUGGAAACGGGUGGUAAUGCUGGAUGCUCCAACUUGACGCAUGUCUUGUUGGGAAAGUGUUUAGUGGCAUGGGAUGGGGUCGCGUCCUAUCAGCUUGUAGGCGGGGUAAUGGCCCACCUAGGCUUCGACGGGUAGCCGGCCUGAGAGGGCGGACGGCCACAUUGGGACUGAGAUACGGCCCAGACUCCUACGGGAGGCAGCAGGC